RNAcentral lists this ribosomal RNA (269 nucleotides) under uncultured prokaryote. RNAcentral describes it as "partial 16S ribosomal RNA". It matches the Rfam family "Bacterial small subunit ribosomal RNA", at positions 524 to 792 of the family's 1533-position model. The record is from RNAcentral.
AACGUAGGGGGCCAGCGUUGUCCGGAAUUACUGGGCGUAAAGCGCGCGUAGGCGGUUUGGUAAGCGGAGGGUGCAAUCCCGAGGCUCAACCUCGGAACUGCUCUCCGAACUGCCAGACUUGAGUACGGGAGAGGAUAGUGGAAUUCCUGGUGUAGCGGUGGAAUGCGUAAAUAUCAGGAGGAACGCCGGUGGCGAAGGCUGCUAUCUGGAACGUAACUGACGCUAAGGCGCGAAAGCUAGGGGAGCGAACGGGAUUAGAUACCCGAGUA